Molecule: long non-coding RNA, 1256 nt
Filed under: Phoenix dactylifera (date palm)
Lineage: Eukaryota; Viridiplantae; Streptophyta; Magnoliopsida; Arecales; Arecaceae
Description: long non-coding RNA (PDAC_LNC002483)
Source: RNAcentral
GCACUGAUUAUCAAAAAUCAGAGUUUAAAUGGGCAUUUGGUACAAAUUGGGAUGAUGCAAGACCCCAAGCCUGAUCAUGCUGGAGCAUAAUUAAACCUAGUCGAGCACAUUUGCACUCGAGCAGCGUAUGUCUACACCCGUCCACUUCGUCGCAGCUUCAUUCUUUCGCGAAGCAUCCUCCGUUUCCAGAUUUCUUCCCCCACCAGUCACCAGUGUGUCAUCCGAAUCCCAGCCGCCCAUUUGUGAUUCUCCCGCUCCAUCCAUGCGUUUACAGCAUCUCCCAGGGCCCGCAUCCUGACUUCAUCCCGCGAUGCCUCACAACAUCGCAAGCAUCCCACGCAUCCGACUGAUCCUCCCACGCAUCUCACGAGCUCUAACUUCCGGAUUCGCGAUCAGAUCUCCCGAGCAUCUCCGCGUUCCAGCCUUCCAGUGUCCGAGCUUCCUCUCCACGUGCGAUUAGCUCCUUUCCGCGUCCCUGCGUCUCAGUAGAUUCUUCCGUGUGUCCAAGGCCCUGCUACCAGCUUCCGUCCGAGUCCGCUUCUCCUGCGAGCCCACGCAUCCCAGCUUUUGCGAUCGUGAUCCAUCCGUGCGUCCACCUCUUUCGGAUUCGAGAUCCUCUGCAUCCUUCCAUUCCCAGCCGUGCGCCCCUUCCGAAUCAGCUUCUGAAUAAGCGAUCCAGUCGUCUACGUGUGAUUCUCCCGCAUCCAAGGCGCUGCGAUCUUCCAUUUUCGCUUGCAAGCCUCCCAGCAUCCGUGCCCCAAUCUCACGUGUUCCCAGCUGUCCGCGAUCCCUCUUCGAUAGACAUGAACCAGGCGUGCAAGCCUCCCGUGAUGCAAGCGAUCGCGAUCUUCCGUCCGAGUCCGCAAUCUCCCGGGAUUCAUCCUAUCCGUCUGUCUCCACCACGUGCAAUCAAGGGGGUCGAAGGCCAGGGAUUAUCUCUCUCUCGGUUGGAAGGAAGGGGCCAUCUCUCAUUCGAAAAAAAACAGAGGAGCCAGCCCCUGCCAUUCAAAAAAAAAGGGGAAGAAACAGGGGGGGCCUGUUUCCGAAAAGAAAAGAAAAAAAUGAGAGGGAGGAUAAUGUUUUUAAUGAGAGGCUGAUUUCUUAGGUGAAGGAUGAUGGAGGAACCUUUGAUGUAUUGCUUUCUUUGAAAUAAAUUCUGAACGUUUGCUCUUAUUGAUUUAUAUUUUUGAUGUGUUAUGGAUUCUUGCAUAAUUAUUUUUUAGAUAGUUCUUUAAUGAUUUAUGUUUAUUGAUGCA